AUUGAACGCUGGCGGAAUGCUUUACACAUGCAAGUCGAGCGGCAGCGCGGCCUUCGGGCUGGCGGCGAGCGGCGAACGGGUGAGUAAUGCAUCGGAACAUGCCCAGUCGUGGGGGAUAACACUUCGAAAGAAGUGCUAAUACCGCAUACGUCCUGAGGGGGAAAGCGGGGGAGCGCAAGACCUCGCGCGAGUGGGGUGGCGGAUGUCAGAUUAGCUAGUUGGUGGGGUAAAGGCCUACUAAGGCGACGAUCUGUAGCUGGUCUGAGAGGAUGAUCAGCCACACUGGGACUGAGACACGGCCCAGACUCCUACGGGAGGCAGCAGUGGGGAAUUUUGGACAAUGGGGGCAACCCUGAUCCAGCCAUUCCGCGUGAGUGAAGAAGGCCUUCGGGUUGUAAAGCUCUUUCGGCAGGAACGAAACGGUGGGCUCUAAGAUAGUCCGCUAAUGACGGUACCUGAAGAAGAAGCACCGGCUAACUACGUG
RNAcentral lists this ribosomal RNA (484 nucleotides) under uncultured bacterium. RNAcentral describes it as "partial 16S ribosomal RNA". It matches the Rfam family "Bacterial small subunit ribosomal RNA", at positions 29 to 507 of the family's 1533-position model. The record is from RNAcentral.